UACAGAGGCCACGAGCGUUAGGCGGAAUCACUGGGCUUAAAGCGUGUGUAGGUGGAUCGGUAAGUACCUUGUGAAAUCCCACGACUCAAUCGUGGAACUGCUUGGUAUACUGCCAGUCUUGAGGCACUCAGGGGCGAGCGGAACAGAUGGUGGAGCGGUGAAAUGCGUAGAUAUCAUCUGGAACGCCAAUGGGUGAAGACAGCUCGCUGGGGGUGUUCUGACACUGAGACACGAAAGCCAGGGGAGCAAACGGG
This 254-nucleotide ribosomal RNA is filed under the name uncultured bacterium. RNAcentral's name for it is "partial 16S ribosomal RNA". It matches the Rfam family "Bacterial small subunit ribosomal RNA", at positions 524 to 776 of the family's 1533-position model. The record is from RNAcentral.